AGACCGUGACCACCCAGACAGGAAGGAGGUGGUGGGGGACACCAUGAGAUGUCUGCUCCCUUAUGCAUGGUUAGGCAGCUCUGGGAUCAAUGUGUCGGAGAGGUGUACAAGAACAAACAAAGGAGGAUGACUCAUGGAGCGGAAGACAGAAAGACAGAGCAUCUUGAUCAGGAAAGGACAAAGGAAAUAGGCUGAUUCCUCAGAAGCCAAGGGUUGGCAGACCUGCAAGCAAAGUACAAGAGAUUACCGAACUAUAAGUGUGCCACUGACUCUAUCCUAGGAUCAGCAGCUUGUGGGAGAAUCAUGGAAUACUUACCAAAGUA
Molecule: long non-coding RNA, 323 nt
Filed under: Anser brachyrhynchus (Pink-footed goose)
Lineage: Eukaryota; Metazoa; Chordata; Aves; Anseriformes; Anatidae
Description: lncRNA (ENSABRG00000023209.1)
Source: RNAcentral